Molecule: unclassified non-coding RNA, 231 nt
Filed under: Hevea brasiliensis (rubber tree)
Lineage: Eukaryota; Viridiplantae; Streptophyta; Magnoliopsida; Malpighiales; Euphorbiaceae
Source: RNAcentral
GUACGUCAGCAAAUGAUUAAUCUUUUCCUGAGUGGCAACUCUUCCUGAGUCAUGCCUGCUAUAAAAAAGAAUUCUGAAUGCAGUCGGAUUGGGAAUGUUUUCCACAAGUUGAUGAGGCAGAUUGGAAAUCCAGUUGAUUUUGAACUUCCUGAUUGGUUUAGCAAAUGGAAGCCUAUGCCAUAUACCUUCAUUAGGCGUAAUGUCUACCUCACAAAGAAAUUUAAAAGACGG